AGCGCAGGCGGACCGGCAAGUUGGAAGUGGAAACUAUGGGCUCAACCCAUAAAUUGCUUUCAAAACUGCUGGCCUUGAGUAGUGCAGAGGUAGGUGGAAUUCCCGGUGUAGCGGUGGAAUGCGUAGAUAUCGGGAGGAACACCAGUGGCGAAGGCGACCUACUGGGCACCAACUGACGCUGAGGCUCGAAAGCAUGGGUACAAAC
Molecule: ribosomal RNA, 205 nt
Filed under: uncultured bacterium
Lineage: Bacteria
Description: partial 16S ribosomal RNA
Rfam family: Bacterial small subunit ribosomal RNA
Source: RNAcentral